UAAGACUUUAAUUGAGUGCUAAGAGAAUGGAAUUUCAAAAAAAUUCUUUCUUAGGAUUAAAAAUUGAAAUUAUUUUUUUUUGUGAAGAAACAACAAUGAUAAUUAAGGACAAGAAGACCCUAAGAAUUUUAAAAGAGAAAGAAUACUUUAUCUCUCUUUUCUUUUUAAUUGGGGCGAUUAAUAAAUAUUAAAAACUUUAUUUAAAAUGAAAUAUGAACCGUUACUAAUGGUCAAAUGAAAAAAUACUCUAGGGAUAACAGCGUAAUAAUUUUUGAUAGUUCCUAUAGACAAAAUAGUUUGCGACCUCGAUGUUGGAUUAGGAUUCUUUUUUAAUGAAGAAG
RNAcentral lists this ribosomal RNA (341 nucleotides) under Amblyomma varium. Its description in RNAcentral is "partial 16S ribosomal RNA". The record is from RNAcentral. Lineage: Eukaryota; Metazoa; Arthropoda; Arachnida; Ixodida; Ixodidae.